AAUAGAUACCCUGGUAGUCCACGCUGUAAACGAUGUCAACUAGCUGUUGGCUAUAUGAAUAUAGUUAGUGGCGCAGCAAACGCGAUAAGUUGACCGCCUGGGGAGUACGGUCGCAAGAUUAAAACUCAAAGGAAGUUGACGGGGGCCCGCACAAGCGGUGGAGCAUGUGGUUUAAUUCGAUGCAACGCGAAGAACCUUACCUACCCUUGACAUACAGUGGAGCUUGCAGAGAUGUGAGUGUGCCUUCGGGAACACUGGUACAGGUGCUGCAUGGCUGUCGUCAGCUCGUGUCGUGAGAUGUUGGGUUAAGUCCCGUAACGAGCGCAACCCUUAUCCUUAGUUGCCAGCACGUAAAGGUGGGAACUCUAAGGAGACUGCCGGUGACAAACCGGAGGAAGGCGGGGACGACGUCAAGUCAUCAUGGCCCUUACGGGUAGGGCUACACACGUGCUACAAUGGUUGAUACAGAGGGCAGCGAAGGGGUGACCGUGGAGCAAAUCUUAGAAAGUCAAUCGUAGUCCGGAUUGG
RNAcentral lists this ribosomal RNA (528 nucleotides) under uncultured bacterium. RNAcentral's name for it is "bacterial SSU rRNA". It matches the Rfam family "Bacterial small subunit ribosomal RNA", at positions 777 to 1301 of the family's 1533-position model. The record is from RNAcentral.